Molecule: ribosomal RNA, 253 nt
Filed under: uncultured bacterium
Lineage: Bacteria
Description: partial 16S ribosomal RNA
Rfam family: Bacterial small subunit ribosomal RNA
Source: RNAcentral
UACAGAGGUGGCAAGCGUUGUUCGGAAUUACUGGGCGUCAAGGGCGCGUAGGCGGCCUUCUAAGUCAGACGUGAAAUCCCCCGGCUUAACCUGGGAACUGCGUCUGAUACUGGGAGGCUUGAGUAUGGGAGAGGGAUGUAGAAUUCCAGGUGUAGCGGUGAAAUGCGUAGAUAUCUGGAGGAACACCGGUGGCGAAGGCGGCAUCCUGGACCGACAUUGACGCUGAGGCGCGAAAGCCAGGGGAGCAAACGGG